GUGAGGAAUUUUCCGCAAUGGGCGAAAGCCUGACGGAGCAAUGCCGCGUGAAGGAUGAAGGCCUAUGGGUUGUAAACUUCUUUUCUCAGAAAAGAAUUAUGACGGUAUCUGAGGAAUAAGCAUCGGCUAACUCUGUGCCAGCAGCCGCGGUAAGACAGAGGAUGCAAGCGUUAUCCGGAAUGAUUGGGCGUAAAGCGUCUGUAGGUUGUUUAAAAAGUAUUCUGUCAAAGAUUAGGGCUUAACCCUAGAUAGGCAGAAUAAACUUUUAAGCUAGAGUUUGGUAGAGGCAGAGGGAAUUCCCGGUGGAGCGGUGAAAUGUGUAGAUAUCGGGAGGAACACCAAAGGCGAAGGCACUCUGCUGGGCCAAUACUAACACUGAGAGACGAAAGCGAGGGGAGCAAAUGGGAUUAGAAACCCCAGUAGUCC
This 426-nucleotide ribosomal RNA is filed under the name uncultured bacterium. Its description in RNAcentral is "partial 16S ribosomal RNA". It matches the Rfam family "Bacterial small subunit ribosomal RNA", at positions 354 to 796 of the family's 1533-position model. The record is from RNAcentral.